UACGGGGGGGGCAAGCGUUGUUCGGAAUUACUGGGCGUAAAGGGCUCGUAGGCGGCCAACUAAGUCAGACGUGAAAUCCCUCGGCUUAACCGGGGAACUGCGUCUGAUACUGGAUGGCUUGAGAUUGGGAGAGGGAUGCGGAAUUCCAGGUGUAGCGGUGAAAUGCGUAGAUAUCUGGAGGAACACCAAUGGCGAAGGCAGCACUCUGGGACGUGACUGACGCUGAGACGCGAAAGCGUGGGGAGCAAACAGG
This 253-nucleotide ribosomal RNA is filed under the name uncultured bacterium. Its description in RNAcentral is "partial 16S ribosomal RNA". It matches the Rfam family "Bacterial small subunit ribosomal RNA", at positions 524 to 776 of the family's 1533-position model. The record is from RNAcentral.